RNAcentral lists this ribosomal RNA (423 nucleotides) under uncultured bacterium. RNAcentral describes it as "bacterial SSU rRNA". It matches the Rfam family "Bacterial small subunit ribosomal RNA", at positions 355 to 775 of the family's 1533-position model. The record is from RNAcentral.
UAAGGAAUAUUGGUCAAUGGACGCAAGUCUGAACCAGCCAUGCCGCGUGAAGGAUGAAGGUCCUCUGGAUUGUAAACUUCUUUUAUAGGGGACGAAAAAAGGGAAUUCUUUCUCGUCUGACGGUACCCUAGGAAUAAGCACCGGCUAACUCCGUGCCAGCAGCCGCGGUAAUACGGAGGGUGCAAGCGUUAUCCGGAUUUACUGGGUUUAAAGGGUGCGUAGGUGGGUCUGUAAGUCAGUGGUGAAAUCUCCGGGCUUAACCCGGAAACUGCCAUUGAUACUAUAGGUCUUGAAUACUCUGGAGGUAAGCGGAAUAUGUCAUGUAGCGGUGAAAUGCUUAGAUAUGACAUAGAACACCAAUUGCGAAGGCAGCUUACUACGGGGUCAUUGACACUGAGGCACGAAAGCGUGGGGAUCAAACAG